CAUUACCGAGUGAGGGCCCUCUGGGUCCAACCUCCCACCCAUGUUUAUUGUACCUUGUUGCUUCGGCGGGCCCGCCUCACGGCCGCCGGGGGGCUUCUGCCCUCUGGCCCGCGCCCGCCGAAGACACCAUUGAACACUGUCUGAAGAUUGCAGUCUGAGCAAUUAGCUAAAUAAGUUAAAACUUUCAACAACGGAUCUCUUGGUUCCGGCAUCGAUGAAGAACGCAGCGAAAUGCGAUACGUAAUGUGAAUUGCAGAAUUCAGUGAAUCAUCGAGUCUUUGAACGCACAUUGCGCCCCUUGGUAUUCCGGGGGGCAUGCCUGUCCGAGCGUCAUUGCUGCCCUCAAGCACGGCUUGUGUGUUGGGCCCCGUCCUCCUUCCCGGGGGACGGGCCCGAAAGGCAGCGGCGGCACCGCGUCCG
Molecule: unclassified non-coding RNA, 420 nt
Filed under: Penicillium cravenianum
Lineage: Eukaryota; Fungi; Ascomycota; Eurotiomycetes; Eurotiales; Aspergillaceae
Description: sequence contains 18S rRNA gene, ITS1, 5.8S rRNA gene, ITS2
Rfam family: 5.8S ribosomal RNA (bases 180-333)
Source: RNAcentral